RNAcentral lists this ribosomal RNA (247 nucleotides) under uncultured Actinomycetales bacterium. Its description in RNAcentral is "partial 16S ribosomal RNA". It matches the Rfam family "Bacterial small subunit ribosomal RNA", at positions 86 to 334 of the family's 1533-position model. Lineage: Bacteria; Bacillati; Actinomycetota; Actinomycetes; Actinomycetales. The record is from RNAcentral.
GGUACACGAGUGGCGAACGGGUGAGUAACACGUGAGUAACCUGCCCACAACUUUGGGAUAACGCUAGGAAACUGGGGCUAAUACCGGAUAGGAGCUCCUGCUGCAUGGUGGGGGUUGGAAAGUUUCGGCGGUUGGGGAUGGACUCGCGGCUUAUCAGCUUGUUGGUGGGGUAGUGGCUUACCAAGGCUUUGACGGGUAGCCGGCCUGAGAGGGUGACCGGCCACAUUGGGACUGAGAUACGGCCCAG